Molecule: long non-coding RNA, 615 nt
Organism: Poecilia latipinna (sailfin molly)
Lineage: Eukaryota; Metazoa; Chordata; Actinopteri; Cyprinodontiformes; Poeciliidae
Exons: 3
Source: RefSeq, a predicted model, not a curated record
AUGCCUAAAAAAGCAUCCUGAAGCAGGAAUACUUUUCCAUGCACACAUUUAACCAGAAUUGUGUGUUAACGGUGCUGUGAACAACUUAUCUUAAUGGGCAUAAAAAUGCUUCUUUGACGGAGUCAGCGGCAAGCCUAACAAUAGGUGUGGUACAGACCUCAAGACAAUUCCCACUGCUGACAUUAUAUUGUUUACAAGGAUACAUAUCUGUCUCCACGCAUUUAUGCAGCAAUAGCUCUGCCUGAGCUUGUCAAGAAGGAGGUUUUUAAUGAAUGUUUUGGUUGUUGAUAUUGCAGUCAUGAUGUGUAAUUAAAUCUAAUUAAAACUACUGGGGUGUGUGCUCAUAUAGGUUUCUUCCUCUUUUUUUUUUUUCUUUUCCAGACUGAAAGUUUGUCAGUUUUAGAAUCUUCUGAAAAUAACACAUCAGAGCUUCAGAGCUCUGAGGAAAACACCUCCAACCAGAGUUCAGAAUCUGAAUCAGUAGAAUCCACUUCAGAGGACAAGGUGUGUUGGUCAAUCAUUCAUAUUCACUGUCAUCCAUUCCCUCAAUGUUGUCUAGGUUUCAUACAUUUAGAGUUAAAAGAAAAGUGCAUACCUCAAAUCUUGGUAAAUGAG